RNAcentral lists this long non-coding RNA (980 nucleotides) under Taeniopygia guttata (zebra finch). RNAcentral's name for it is "lncRNA (ENSTGUG00000022990.1)". Lineage: Eukaryota; Metazoa; Chordata; Aves; Passeriformes; Estrildidae. The record is from RNAcentral.
CACAUUGUCCCUGGGGAAAGAGAGGUGCAGAACCCUUCACUAAUGGCCUGGAAUGUCAAACAGCAAUCACAGCCAUGGACAGCUCUCGGGAACCACUGCACCAUGGAUUUUCCAUCCUGGAAGGCCAAGAUUGAGAGUGUCCUGCUGGUGCCUCAGGGCCUGGCUGAACAGGGCUUGUCAGAGAUCUGGCAGGGAGGAGUCCCGGCAGGGAUAAAGGUGCUCCUCACCUGCUGCAGCCUCACCCAGCGCUGCCCAGAGCGAGAGGAAGAUGAAGGUGGCUGUGCUCAGCGUGGCCCUGCUCUUCUCCAUCCUGCUGUGCUCCCCGGCUCAGGCCCAGGAAAAGCUGGAGGAACUUCUGCGGAUGAAGCGCGCCGUGGCUGCCUCUCUGAAGGUCUAGGUGAGCCGUGCCUGCAGGGACAGGGCUGGGGACAAAGCCCAUCCAUGGCCCAGCAGGAAACACCAGUGGUCACCUUCUGGGCUUUGUCUUUCAGGGUCAGAAGGAGCAGUGUCCUUUUCCUCUCCAGUGGCAUGAGGAGAUGAUCAUGCCUGGAGGAACCCCUGACCCUUUGAGCCCGGGCCAUUUCCCCUGAAUAAUCAAGCAUCAAUAAUCAAUAAACCCUUUCAGCAUAGCUUUGCUCUGUGUCUGUGUGUGUCCCCUAUCCAGUGGUCCAGGGAAGUCAGGCCAGGUCUGGGCUCUGCUGCCUUGGCACAGCCCGUGCUCUCCCCCAGACAAAUUGUGUGUUGGGAGUUGUGCAGGCUCCAGGGGGAGUGGGUUGAGUAGGUGGGUGGGCGUGCAGGUGCUGAGAAAGGCUGCAGUUCACCAUGAGUGUGGUAGGAAUGGCCUGGGUUGAAAAGGAAAAAAUUAAAUUCAAAACAAGGUUUCCUUUAAAACAUUUUUCCCUUAAAAUUCUUUAUUCACUCCAAAGAAUUUAAUGGCUCAAAAAAAAUCUUUAUAUGUCAAAAGCAUGUUGAAAUUAUUU